GAAAGGGAGAGCAAGGAAGAAGGGUUUUAAACCCUUGAAUCCAUACAAACCACCAUAUCUCUUCCAUCCGAGCUCCGAUCGUCACACCGUUUGCAUCCACCGCGUUGAACUUUACGAAUCUACCAGAACAAUUUCAUAGGCUCAAUCUACCUUGUGGAGCUUGUUGGACUUGCCUCUCUUGAUCCGUGGGUACGGUAAGGAUUCUCAACCCUAAUUAAAUUCUUGAAUUUGUAUAUUGGGUAUUGAGUUUGGGUUUGAACUAUGUGAAUUAGGCUUGUAUAUGAGUAUAUUGAAGUUGAUUGAGUACAUUGGAGGUUUGGUGGAGUUUGGAAAACCUUGCCUUGAAGAUUUUGAACCUUGAGGAUUGCUUUGGGUGCCUUAGUGAUAUCUCGGGGUAUACGCGAAAAUCGACCAAAGUAUGAUUUAGAUUUUGCAUAUUUAAUAUAUAAUGUUUUGUGAAACCUUAGGUUAGAGGAUCAUAGGAUAAGUUGGAAUGAUUAAGCAUGAUGAAUGUUAGAGCUUGUAAUAAUGAUUAAUGACAUAGAUUGAGUAUGUGUUGUGGUAUUUGAUUAACGAUGGGUUGUUGGUAAGGAUGUUUGAGCAUAAUUGGUGAAUUGUUCAUAGUUUUGUUAUUUAAUGUAGGAAAUCUUGGAGCAAAAUUGUAUAAUGUUGAUGCUUGAUGGAUGAUA
Molecule: non-coding RNA, 689 nt
Organism: Arachis ipaensis
Lineage: Eukaryota; Viridiplantae; Streptophyta; Magnoliopsida; Fabales; Fabaceae
Source: RefSeq, a predicted model, not a curated record